Molecule: long non-coding RNA, 908 nt
Organism: Microtus oregoni (creeping vole)
Lineage: Eukaryota; Metazoa; Chordata; Mammalia; Rodentia; Cricetidae
Exons: 3
Source: RefSeq, a predicted model, not a curated record
GGGAAGGAACAGUAAGGAAACUCAGGCCGCUGGGUUGAGGCUCUAGGGAGCAAGGGGCCCAGGGUGCAGGGAAGGGAACGGUACGAAAACGUGGGUGAGACGUGGGAUCCGGAUAAGAAGCCGCAGGUGGGCAUUGGGAGACCUUCCGAGAAAUUUCUGGAAGCAGGUCCUUGGAAAACAGGAUGGAAGCUGUUUGCUGGGCCAGGCCCUCUUCUUCCCCCACGGCUAAUCUCUUGAGGCCAGACACCCCUCAUUAGAAGACUCCUUCCUCCUCCUUGGAAUGAGUUUCCUCCUUCGCACACGCGCAAGCUGCAGGGUGCCCAGGGCCGCGCCCAGCACAACCCAGCCACCCAGGAGAGGCGCGCCCCAAACAAGUUUGCGCUUCGCGGCGGGCUCUGCAUCUAGCUGGGAGGAGCAGCAAAGCCGAGUCGUAGACUACAUUGCCCACAAGGCCCCGCGCGCCGCCAUCUCAGCCGGUGGGCGGUGGUCGCCUGGGGUCCUGGCUUUUGUAAGCCGCAGGGCUAACUCUACACGCCCUAACCCCCGACUUCUUGAAGGCCGUGAGACCGAACCAAGUAGGGUGCUCUGGCCAAGUAGAAUUCCUGGACGCCUUUGCACUCCCUUAUCCCCGGAAGCCCCAUCCACGUGUCGGCCAGCUCGCGGACGUCAUCUAGCCCCUUGCUGGCCGAGGGUCUCGCACGUUCCUCACCGGAUCCGCGCCCUACUCGGCCUUAUGCCUUAGCCCGCCUCGGUUUCGGCCUCAGACACAGAAUGAGACAGGGCCAGAAGAGAACUAUGGUCCUGACGGACGUGCAGAUCCAGGCACCCGACACCUAGAAGUCUGGGUUUGGGGGCCAGAGGUUAAAUUAAGGGGGAGACCGCAGAGCCCCGGAACCUGCAAACUAGGU